This 396-nucleotide ribosomal RNA is filed under the name uncultured bacterium. RNAcentral describes it as "bacterial SSU rRNA". It matches the Rfam family "Bacterial small subunit ribosomal RNA", at positions 29 to 416 of the family's 1533-position model. The record is from RNAcentral.
AGCGAACGUUAGCGGCGGGCCUAACACAUGCAAGUCGAACGGGCUGUAGCAAUACAGUCAGUGGCGCACGGGUGCGUAACGCGUAGAUAAUCUACCUCUCAGUGGGGGAUAACUAGGGGAAACUCUAGCUAAUACCGCAUAAGACCACGGAGUCUUCGGGCUUUUGAGGGAAAAGGCGGCCUCUGAAUAUGCUGUCGCUGGGAGAUGAGUCUGCGUCCCAUCAGCUAGUUGGUGAGGUAAUGGCUCACCAAGGCAAAGACGGGUAGCUGGUCUGAGAGGAUGAUCAGCCACACUGGCACUGGAACACGGGCCAGACUCCUACGGGAGGCAGCAGUGGGGAAUAUUGGGCAAUGGGCGGAAGCCUGACCCAGCCACGCCGCGUGAGUGAUGAAGGCC